Long non-coding RNA from Oncorhynchus masou masou (cherry salmon), 639 nucleotides. RefSeq lists it as uncharacterized. The record is from RefSeq and is a predicted model, not a curated record. The transcript is spliced from 3 exons. NCBI's taxonomy places the organism in Eukaryota, Metazoa, Chordata, Actinopteri, Salmoniformes, Salmonidae.
GCUCCCAGUUGUAUACAUCAUAGUUGCCUUCCGCUGGCGAGACCUGCUUGGAGUGAAAGGAGCAUGGGUGCAGUUUCUUGUCCUCCUUGUUCCACUGUGAAAGGACCACACCAGCUCCGGUGUCCGGGGCGUCCACCUCUACCACAAAGGGACGAGUAGGAUCAGGAUGAACGAGGAUGGGUUCGGAGGAGAAACGUCCCUUGAGCUCUAUGAAUGCCCUGUCAGCCUCGGGAUUCCUGCAAAAACCUGCUUGAGUGAGGUGGGACAGGGCCGUAAAUGUUCCGGAGGGGGUUUUGGAGAAGAUCGGGAUGUCGUCGAGGUGAACAAAGACGAACCGGUUCAACAUAUCCCUAAGAGUAUCAUUGAUCAAUGCCUGAAAGACUGCUGAUUUUAAGCGUUGCGGAGGUCCAGUUUGGUGAAGAAUUGGAUUCUUAGUGCCAACUCCGAGGCGGCGGACAUCGGGUGAGUUGAACCUGCCUGUGGGUGCAGUGGGGAUAUUCCUGGGAGGUCUACUGAUGAAGAGGUAUAAGCUUGGCGUUGUGUCUGGAUCCCAGAUUUCUUUCGUCAUCUCCUUCAUGGCCUACCUCCUCCUCCCUCUGCAGUCUGGCACUAAGUGUGACAAUGUUCAGGUGGCUGGUC